Molecule: ribosomal RNA, 495 nt
Filed under: uncultured bacterium
Lineage: Bacteria
Description: partial 16S ribosomal RNA
Rfam family: Bacterial small subunit ribosomal RNA
Source: RNAcentral
GACGAACGCUGGCGGCGUGCCUAAUACAUGCAAGUAGAACGCUGAAGGAGGAGCUUGCUUCUCUGGAUGAGUUGCGAACGGGUGAGUAACGCGUAGGUAACCUGCCUGGUAGCGGGGGAUAACUAUUGGAAACGAUAGCUAAUACCGCAUAAGAGUAGAUGUCGCAUGACAUUUGCUUAAAAGGUGCAAUUGCAUCACUACCAGAUGGACCUGCGUUGUAUUAGCUAGUUGGUGAGGUAACGGCUCACCAAGGCAACGAUACAUAGCCGACCUGAGAGGGUGAUCGGCCACACUGGGACUGAGACACGGCCCAGACUCCUACGGGAGGCAGCAGUAGGGAAUCUUCGGCAAUGGACGGAAGUCUGACCGAGCAACGCCGCGUGAGUGAAGAAGGGUUUCGGAUCGUAAAGCUCUGUUGUAAGAGAAGAACGAGUGUGAGAGUGGAAAGUUCACACUGUGACGGUAGCUUACCAGAAAGGGACGGCUAACUACGUG